RNAcentral lists this long non-coding RNA (777 nucleotides) under Struthio camelus australis. RNAcentral describes it as "lncRNA (ENSSCUG00000002459.1)". The record is from RNAcentral. Lineage: Eukaryota; Metazoa; Chordata; Aves; Struthioniformes; Struthionidae.
CGGUAGGGUCGCGCCUCCUCCCCUGCGGCUGCCUCCGUGCUGCCUGCCGGCGUUCCCUCAGCCCUGUCUCCAGCGCUCCCUCCUCUGGCGCCUGUCCCCUUUUCUAACGCCUUCUCUAUUUAUUACUUUGGAAAAUAACAUGUUUUUUUAAAAUAAAAGCUGUGGUUCUUCCACCCUUCUCCUCGCCUUUUGAUGGCGUUGACCCAGCACUGUAAACCGCGGCUCUGUGCGCGAAGUUUGCGCCGUCGCCUUUUUGGCGCUGCUGGGGGGGCAACUGGAGCGGUGCCGGUGUUGCCCCGCCGCUCGGACGUGGAGUGUGGUAGAAGAGCGGCGUCGCUCACUGGCAUGUUUGGGGAUGGCACAGCAGAGCAGAGACGAUGGGGAAAGCAGUGGGAAGGCGGAAAACCGAAAGUUUGAACCGAUGGUUUUUUCAAGUCCCGUUUUCUGUUCCUUUGCCCUCCACCCCGUCCCACCUCAUCAAGCAAAUGCAGGAAGAGAAAGGAAGAAAAAAAAAAGCAUUCAAGAAUGCGUUUCUCUACAGUGAUGGAAAUUUGAUCGGCGGGUUUCUCCCAGAACUGGCAUGUGGGGACGGUCCGUCCCCGCCGCCUUGUCCUGGGAGCGCUUCCACGUUACAGUCGAGGAUUUCAGUACCGCAAACCAUUGCGCCCUUGUGGUAAGUGACCAUGGAAAGUGGGAACGCUCUAGAGGGAAGGUGGGACGGGGUUCGCGGAGCUGCGUCCCUUCACUUCCUUUGUACUUCUGGCUGCGGGCGGGGGG